RNAcentral lists this ribosomal RNA (253 nucleotides) under uncultured bacterium. RNAcentral's name for it is "partial 16S ribosomal RNA". It matches the Rfam family "Bacterial small subunit ribosomal RNA", at positions 524 to 776 of the family's 1533-position model. The record is from RNAcentral.
UACGUAGGGUGCAAGCGUUGUCCGGAAUUAUUGGGCGUAAAGAGCUCGCAGGCGGUUCGUCGCGUCGGCUGUGAAAACCCGGAGCUCAACUCCGGGCCUGCAGUCGAUACGGGCGGACUUGAGUGUUGCAGGGGAGACUGGAAUUCCUGGUGUAGCGGUGAAAUGCGCAGAUAUCAGGAGGAACACCGGUGGCGAAGGCGGGUCUCUGGGCAACUACUGACGCUGAGGAGCGAAAGUGUGGGGAGCGAACAGG